AUGUAUUGAAUUUUUGUUAGAAGAUACAAAGACAAAGACUCAUACGGACUUCGACUACACUAUCAAAGCUUUGAGAAGCAAGAAGAAGCUUGGUUAGUGUUUUGGAUUCGAAUAUGACUUGAUGUCAUGUGUAUGACUCAAUAUAAAAAC
RNAcentral lists this small RNA (150 nucleotides) under Arabidopsis thaliana (thale cress). RNAcentral describes it as "ATSL269150". Lineage: Eukaryota; Viridiplantae; Streptophyta; Magnoliopsida; Brassicales; Brassicaceae. The record is from RNAcentral.